RNAcentral lists this ribosomal RNA (524 nucleotides) under uncultured bacterium. Its description in RNAcentral is "bacterial SSU rRNA". It matches the Rfam family "Bacterial small subunit ribosomal RNA", at positions 776 to 1297 of the family's 1533-position model. The record is from RNAcentral.
CAAUAGACUACCCAGGUAGUCCACGCCCUAAACGAUGCGAACUGGAUGUUGGGUACAUUACGGUACUCAGUGUCGAAGCUAACGCGUUAAGUUCGCCGCCUGGGGAGUACGGUCGCAAGACUGAAACUCAAAGGAAUUGACGGGGGCCCGCACAAGCGGUGGAGUAUGUGGUUUAAUUCGAUGCAACGCGAAGAACCUUACCUGGCCUUGACAUCUGUCGAAUCCUGCAGAGAUGCGGGAGUGCCGCAAGGAACGACAAGACAGGUGCUGCAUGGCUGUCGUCAGCUCGUGUCGUGAGAUGUUGGGUUAAGUCCCGCAACGAGCGCAACCCUUGUCCUUAGUUGCCAGCACGUAAUGGUGGGAACUCUAAGGAGACUGCCGGUGACAAACCGGAGGAAGGUGGGGAUGGCGUCAAGUCCUCAUGGCCCUUACGGCCAGGGCUACACACGUACUACAAUGGUCGGUACAGAGGGUUGCGAAGCCGCGAGGUGGAGCCAAUCCCAGAAAGCCGAUCCCAGUCCGGA